GACGAACGCUGGCGGCGUGCCUAAUACAUGCAAGUCGAACGCAGUGGGGACGGGUGAGUAACACCUGGGUAACCUCCCAUCAGAGGGGAUACCCCUUGGAAACAGGUGCUAAACCGAUACUGAUGGAUGUCCCCGCGGUGCAUUAGCUAGUUGGUGGGGUAACGGCCCACCAAGGCCACGAUGCAUAGCCGACCUGAGAGGGUGAUCGGCCACACUGGGACUGAGACACGGCCCAGACUCCUACGGGAGGCAGCAGUAGGGAAUCUUCGGCAAUGGACGAAAGUCUGACCGAGCAACGCCGCGUGAGUGAAGAAGGUUUUCGGAUCGUAAAACUCUGUUGUUAGAGAAGCGGUAUCUAACCAGAAAGCCACGGCUAACUACGUGCCAGCAGCCGCGGUAAUAC
Molecule: ribosomal RNA, 403 nt
Filed under: uncultured bacterium
Lineage: Bacteria
Description: partial 16S ribosomal RNA
Rfam family: Bacterial small subunit ribosomal RNA
Source: RNAcentral